Juglans regia (Persian walnut) is the source of this 474-nucleotide long non-coding RNA. RefSeq lists it as uncharacterized. Lineage: Eukaryota; Viridiplantae; Streptophyta; Magnoliopsida; Fagales; Juglandaceae. The transcript has 2 exons. The record is from RefSeq and is a predicted model, not a curated record.
UCCUGCACCACUCUCUCUCUUGCCACUUGCUCAUUUCUUUUUAAGAUUUCAUUUUCUAAUCUAACAACACAUAAAUCUGGAGUAUACUUUCAGUCUACACCAAGAAAUAGCAUCCUCAAGGAGAUUUGUCACUCUAAAAGGGAGUAAUUUAAUCUUGAACACUGAGAUGUAAAUCUCACCGUGGUGGUCUACCUGUAGUUCGUUAUUUACCAGUAAUGAAAUCAUAGUUUAUGGCAGGGACACUAAACCCCACUCUAGAGGAAGAGGCUGUCAACAAGAAUGCUCAAGAUGAAUUAGGUGCCUCUUAUGUACUUGUAUAAUAGUGUUGUGUAAUAACAAAACAACAUUAGCUAGUGUUUGUAUUUAACAACCAUUGUAUAAUUAUUUUUUAAGUCAAUGAGCUCAUGAGAAAGUGUGACAAGGGUAGUCUUGUAACCUUGUAUUGUAGAUGUUGUAUAUAUUUGAUGGUGCUUA